CUGGCAGAAAACAUCAGUAGGACUCCUGGAAACAUCAGCAGUACCUCUUACUGAGGGACACGGCUUUCCAGUGGCACUCCACGACAAGCUCAUUGCAAAAUGGAGUCAAAUGCCCUUAACUCCUGGUUGUUGUUAGGGACACAUGACUUAGCUGGGAGGCAUGCCAGCUAUCAGAAGCCCCCAAC
This 185-nucleotide long non-coding RNA is filed under the name Fukomys damarensis (Damara mole-rat). RNAcentral's name for it is "lncRNA (ENSFDAG00000023614.1)". Lineage: Eukaryota; Metazoa; Chordata; Mammalia; Rodentia; Bathyergidae. The record is from RNAcentral.